CCUGCCUCAGCCUCCCGAGUAGCCGAGAAUACAGGAAGCUGAGCUAAGUGAGCAGCUGAAGAUGAAGGGAAGCCCAGAGGUUUUGCAGGUCACCAGAAAAGCCCUAAUUGAAGGAGGUACUAUACAAAUUUAGAAGAAAUGGUGCGUGAUUGUUUACAAAAGGUUCCUGAAUUUUCAGUGUUUGGCAGAGGAGGAGACAUGGAGAAAUACUGAAACUCCUGCUAAAGGACACCCCUUCAAAGGGCAGGCGCUGUGCUGGGCUCUGGGACUCGUGGGUGAACUGCACAGAGCUGGGCCCUGCCUUCAGGGAAAGAAGACAAUAAGCAAAACAUACCCAAAGAGAUGGUUACAAAGACAGCGAGCACCCGGAAGGAAAAUGGAAGCUGCCAGGAAAGGGGCUCCUGGGCCUACUCACCAGGAAGUCCAGUCCUCACCAGCCCGGAGGCCUGGUCUGCAUCCUCAGCCUCACAGAAGCUCAACCAGUCACUUAAAACGAGAUUGCAGUGAUGUUUUACAACUCUGUGAACGCACUAAUAGCCACUGAAUUCUACACUAACGUGUGCAUUUUAUGACAGGAGUGCUGCAUCUGGAUGGCAUGGCAGAGGGAAGCCCCAGCUGCCACUGCUCCAGGGACCCUUAUAGUUCCACGGUGAUGGGGAACAGAAAGAGGCUCUUCCAGGAAACAGCCUUGGGGACAAGGAGACCACACUUCUGGGUGAUUCGAAGAUCAGACAAGGCUCCUGUAAAAUGAACGAAUGAAGUGAAUGAAUGAGACGGAGUUGCACUGUUAGAGAUGGUGGCAGCAGUGUGAAUCAAAUGAAGUCCCUGCUCUCCCGGUUGUGGCCACGUUAGUCCAGCCCAGAAGAGUCUCCAGGGGCCCGAGCAUCUGUCCUCACAUCAGAACUAGCUUUGGGAUUGUGACUUUGGGGUUGCUUUGUUGGCUUCCUUUUCCUGUCAGGCAGCAUAUAGGGCUGGGGGCUGUCAACCGCACCCUCCCUGAAUCUACGUCCAUCACGAGUCCCCUUGCAGGGCCUUCUUUUUUUUUGACCCAGCGUCAGUCAUGUAACUUGCUUUGGCCAAGUGAUGUCAGCAAGUGGGAUACAAGCAGAGGUCUGAAAAGUGCUGGCAAACGGGGCUUGCUCGCUCGGCUCUGCCACAGUGUGAGAACGUGCCUCGACUCGCCUGCCGGUGGACAGCACACUUGGAACAGGACUGGUGUCGCCAGCUGCCCCAGCCGAGGCCACCCUAGACCAGCCAGCAGCCAGGACCAUGGCCCGGGCGAGUCCAGCCUGCAUCACUGGCUGCAGACUCGUGGGCUAAAUAAUUGCUCAUUGCUUCAAGUCACUGAGUUUCAGGGCAGUCCGUCCCAUAGCAUUAUUGUGGCAGUGGUCACUGAUGGGGCAGUAGGAGGGCUCCUGUCAGUACCAGGAGCUGUUGGCUCCUGUCAGAAAGGACCUAGUGGUAGCCAGUGUGGACCUGGAACAAGAGAGUGGGCCUUAAAACGAGGAUCUCCAGGCACCAUGUGGGGCUGAGCCUCAUAGGCAGCCAUUCCUGAAGCGCAGGAGGUGGUAGGAAAUUAGGAGGCAAAGGCAUGAGAUGCUAUGGCAGCUUCCCUGAGCGGGGACGAUGGGCACCACUCAUCGGUGGGCACCGCAGGGUGAGUCAGUUCCCGGCCCUGCUGCUUGAACUCAUCUCCCACAGGCACAGGCUGGCCGUGGGAGUCCGCGGGCCACGUGCAGUCUCCUCAUUCCCACCUCCUCCAGGUUUCCUUGCAGCCUCCACCUCCAGGGCUGAGUCAUGAGCUCAUGGCCCCAGGGAAGGAGAAGCUGGAAAGGCCUAGGACUUCAAGGUCACAGAGCUGUCAGCCCUCUGGGGAACUGCCUUGGUAGAACAGAGUAGCCACCUCACCCAAGGCAGCCCCCAGCCAGGGACGGAUCAGCUUGGGGGCGUAAACCUUGGUCCCCUCACCGCAGCUUGGUGCAGCCUGCAGGGCCACCCCAGCUCCGGGGCUCCUGAGACCAGCUUCUCCCUCGGGCCAUCCUGCCUGUCCCAUUCUGUCCCCUUCCAUCAGGGCUGACCCCCAGAGGACACCCUAACAAUUCCCUGCAGCCCAGGCUCCACCUCGGUGGGUAGCAGCUUCCCUGAAACCAGUGGUGCUUCUCAUUCAGUCCCUGCAGGCUGAGAAGCAGCCUGAAGGAUCUCCACUGCUUCCAGGCGAGGCCCCAGGGAUCUGCUGAGAAUCUGGCUGGUUGGCUUGCCAGGAAACAUCACUGUGAGUGUGAAGUGUCCCAGCCUUUGAGGGCCGCACGCCCACUGCCCAGGCAAGGGCUGAAUGGGAGCUUCAGAACUCAGGAGAUCACAGUGUGGGCGAGCCUAGGCUGCAGGACGGAGCCACAGCAAGGGUGACACAGGUUGCCAGUGCCCUGUGGAGGACACCACAGAACCCCACGGCAGCCCGGGCCUGCCGCGCCUGCACUGUCACCCACUUGGGGUGGAGCAUUCUUCUCUGCAACCAGCUAUAGGAAAUACAUAGUCUUAUAAUCUUUGUCCACCUGAGGAAUUACAGAUGGUCCCUGGCUCCUGGUGCCUCAAUUUAUGAUUUUUUGACUUUAUGAUGGUUUGAAAUAUUGGCAGUUUUGAUGAAUGUACAGUAUUCAAUAUAUCAUGUGAGGUAUUCAACAUUUUAUGAUAAAAUGGGCUUCGUGUGGCAUGAUUUUGCCCAAUUGUAGGCUAACCUGAGUGUUCUGAGCAUGUUUAAGGUCCACUAGGCUAAGCUAGGAUGUUCGGUAGCUUAGGUGUGUCAAAUGCAUUUUCAACUUACGAUAUUUUCAACUUGGAAUGGGUUUACCUGGAUGCAACCCCCAUGUAACUCGAGGAGCACCUGUAUGCGUCAAUUGCCUUCACCCUCUAACAGGGUGGGUGUGAGGGCUGCCAUGUCAGAGAAAGCAGGCCUGGAAUGGCGGUCAGAAGAGGAUUCUGGAAAUUCUGAGGUUUCCUAACAAGGCCCCAGUCAUGGCAGGAGGCUCUGAGGGCUCCACUGGGGCCGGAGAGGCUGCUUCCAGGCUCUCUCUGGCGUCCCUUGCUGGGGCUCCAGGCCUUCUCCAGCUGCUGGUGGCAGACCUGGAUCACAGGGCUGCUCAGUACAAGGCAGCUGGCUUUUCCCAGAGCAAGGGCUCUGAAGGGGAGGGAACAAGAGAAGGCGGGCAAGGUGGGGGGCACAGGCGUUUUGUAGCCAAAUAAUCUUGGAAGGGACAGCCCAUUACCUUUGCCAGAUUCUACUUAGUUGAAGCCAGUCCCUAGGUGACAGGAAUCACGAAGGCCAUUGGAGAGGCUGCCUGCCCUACGGGAUUGCAGAGGGGACGAGGCCCAGCAAAGUCUGUGGAGCUGGAGGAUGCCACGCCCAUUCAGGACGAAAUGCAGAAGGACGCUGCAGAGCCUGCUUCUCUGUUCCUUCGCCUCACUGGGGCAGACCAGCUGCGGCCAGCCUGUGCCCACUCCUCGCGGACCUGGGUACUGCUUCCAGAGAUCCUUCAGUCCUGGGAGUUUAAUCAUUCUGUCCCGGCCUCUUUGCUCCCAGCCCUCCCCUGGCAGUUGCUGCUCUAUUGUUCUAGCUCAGUUUUCACUUUUUGCCCUUGCAAUGCACAAGGGUUAGCAAUUCUUGAUGGUACAGUCUCUCUGUUCGAAGAGCUGGGGUGGUUUCUACUUCUAGCUGGACCCUGAGUGAUCCUUCAGGCAGGGGUCUCUGCGACUGGAGACAUGCUGUGUGCAUGAGGUCCCAUGUACACUCAGAUUGCAUCCCCCAUCCCUGCCCAGCCCUGAGAGGCAGGCGAGACAGUCCCCCUCUCACCAUCUCUGGGGUGGGCCUGGAUUUAUUGGCUGAAGAAUUACACCCUCUUUGAUGGUAUGCAGUUUAAUUCCGUAGAUCAAAGCUAUGUCUAGAUUUUAAAUAAAUGAUAGGGAUUUAAAAUUGUAUAUAAAACACA
This 3983-nucleotide long non-coding RNA is filed under the name Homo sapiens (human). RNAcentral's name for it is "HSALNT0383765". The record is from RNAcentral. Lineage: Eukaryota; Metazoa; Chordata; Mammalia; Primates; Hominidae.